RNAcentral lists this ribosomal RNA (448 nucleotides) under Candidatus Mycoplasma turicense. RNAcentral describes it as "bacterial SSU rRNA". It matches the Rfam family "Bacterial small subunit ribosomal RNA", at positions 194 to 660 of the family's 1533-position model. The record is from RNAcentral. Lineage: Bacteria; Bacillati; Mycoplasmatota; Mollicutes; Mycoplasmatales; Mycoplasmataceae.
AGGAGAUUUAAAGGUGCAAACCGCCGAGGGAUUGGAAUAUGUCCUAUUAGCUAGUUGGCGGGAUAAAAGCCCACCAAGGCAAUGAUAGGUAGCUGGUCUAAGAGGAUGAACAGCCACAAUGGGAUUGAGAUACGGCCCAUAUUCCUACGGGAAGCAGCAGUAGGGAAUCUUCCACAAUGGACGAAAGUCUGAUGGAGCAAUGCCAUGUGAACGACGAAGGCCAGACAGGUCGUAAAGUUCUUUUAGAGGGGAAAAAUCUGAUGGUACCCUCUGAAUAAGUGACAGCAAACUAUGUGCCAGCAGCUGCGGUAAUACAUAGGUCGCGAGCGUUAUUCGGAUUUAUUGGGCGUAAAGCAAGCGCAGGCGGAUGAAUAAGUUCUGCAUUAAAAGCAGCUGCUUAACAGUUGUUUGUGCCGAAUACUAUUCAUCUAGAAUGUGGUAGAAAGUU